UAUUAAAAAUUUCAUCAUUUGUAUUCAUUAAAGCUGACGUGACUGUCAAAAUAAUUAGACAGUGAUACGUAGCAUGCCACCUGUAUCUCUUGUUAACGAACAAGAAUCAAUUUUUAACUAUAAAAAUAAAUGAAAUUUUAAUA
Non-coding RNA from Gossypium raimondii (Peruvian cotton), 143 nucleotides. Lineage: Eukaryota; Viridiplantae; Streptophyta; Magnoliopsida; Malvales; Malvaceae. The record is from Rfam.